CAGCAGCCGCGGGAAUACGAAGGGGGCUAGCGUUGCUCGGAUUUACUGGGCGUAAAGGGCGCGUAGGCGGACAGUUAAGUUGGGGGUGAAAGCCCGGGGCUCAACCUCGGAAUUGCCUUCAAUACUGGCUGUCUUGAGUGUGAGAGAGGUGUGUGGAACUCCGAGUGUAGAGGUGAAAUUCGUAGAUAUUCGGAAGAACACCAGUGGCGAAGGCGACACACUGGCUCACUACUGACGCUGAGGCGCGAAAGCGUGGGGAGCAAACAGGAUUAGAUACCCCUGUAGUCCCUGUCUCUUAUAC
This 301-nucleotide ribosomal RNA is filed under the name uncultured bacterium. RNAcentral's name for it is "partial 16S ribosomal RNA". It matches the Rfam family "Bacterial small subunit ribosomal RNA", at positions 509 to 807 of the family's 1533-position model. The record is from RNAcentral.